CCUGCUGCUUCUUCAAAUGGAUUACCACUUGGGGAUACCUUUCAGUUAUGUCGUUGAUCACCUCGUUGAAGUCGUCAGCCUUGAGUUUACCUGUGUUGUUCUUGUCUGCCUUGCUGAAGAUGGCUGCAAUGUCUUCCUGAUAUAACUCGAUGACAGAGAGCACGAACCUGUCCAAUCUGCUUCAUGAAAUCCAUCACAACAGGCCGAGUUCCAAUACCAGUCGACCAGACAACCAUCCCAUACGAAUGUGGUCUCCAGCCUCGAGAAGAGUGAUUGUAACGUAGCUCUUAAGAUACGGGUAUAGCUUUGCCAAAUCCUCAAUGACAAAGUCAUGAAGCUCAGCAGCAAACUCCACCCCCGUUGGGCCUCCUCCGACCACCACAAAAUGCAGAAUCCGCUUCCUCUCCUCUUCACUUAUGUUCGGUAAGCUUGCCUUCUCAAAACAGUCUAUAACUGUUUUCCUUAUCUUCUGUGCAUCUUCUAUCUCCUGCAGAAUGUUCACAUUUCGUAUGCAUUGAGGAGAUAAUUAUACAUCCCGUUAAACAAAUAGGACGUCUAGAAAACCUUGAUAUACACGUUACCUUUAGAAAGUGCGUAUGCUCAACAACACCAGGGGUGUUAAACGUGUUGGAACGAGCUCCCAUGGCUAUCACUAGGAAACAACAUAGAAAUACCAGAUUCAUCAACUCAUACGACCUUACGUUGCUCUUUCACACAGGAUGAUGCUACACUCACCUUUCUGA
Salvia splendens (bonfire salvia) is the source of this 743-nucleotide long non-coding RNA. RefSeq lists it as uncharacterized. Lineage: Eukaryota; Viridiplantae; Streptophyta; Magnoliopsida; Lamiales; Lamiaceae. The record is from RefSeq and is a predicted model, not a curated record. The transcript has 4 exons.